AUCUGGAAUGGUACCCAAAGAGUUAUAAAAUUGAGUACGCCCUUUGACCCAGCAAUACCACAAUGAGAUCUGUUUCCCAAAGCGGUCAGGGAAAAAGGAAAAGAACCUAUAGUUCUAAAAUAUUUAUAGCAGCCCUCUUUGUGGUAGCAAAAAAAUGGUAACUGAGGGGAUGCCCAUCAAUUAGGCAGUGGCUAAAUAGGUUGUGGUACGUGAUUUUGAUGGACUAUUAGUAUGCUGUAAGAAAUGAUAAGUAAGUUGGUUUUAGAAAAACAUGGAAAGAUGUGGAUGAAAUAAUGAAGAAUGAAAUGAGCAGAAUCAACAGAACACUGUCUAUUCCAUAACAGUGAUAUUAUUCAAAAAGUAAAUGAGAAUGACUAAGAUUCUGAAUAAUAUGAAUAUUCAAAUGAGCCACAAAGAACCGAUGAAGGAAUAUGCUAUCCAUCUCCAAAGAAAGAACUGACAUAUGGAAGCAUAUAUAUUGUAUGGUUUCACAUAUGUAUCUGUGGCCAGCAGUGGCCUUCUCUAGUGAGGGUUAGAAGGGAAAAAGGAAAAAAGGAAAUAGCUUGGAACUCAAAAUGUCACAAAAAUGAAAUAAAUAUUUUUUAGGAAAAAAAAAUUUAAUUGGUGCAGACGAGUGGGAAAAACUCAAAGCUGAAGGUCCAGGGCGGCUGUGGGACACCUAAGCAGAUGGGUUCGACAAGAGAGAAAUAUAAAUGUUAAUAGGAUGGAUCUUGAGAAUAGGCAUAGUCAAAUUCAAUAUGCAUUUAUUCAACCGCUAUAUGAUAAAAGUAAGUCAGGCCUUGCCCUCGGGGAGCUUCCGUUGUACAGUUCCGAAGCUAUAAGUGGGUUCUACCAAAGGGACUCUGGACUCCGGUAAUUGCUAUCCCCGCUUCCUUCUUUUCUCCAGCUUUCUUGAGAAAGUAUAUCCGCCACCACCAUGGCCACCCUACACACCUUCUAAACACUGAAGAAGAAUUCUUAGGAAUUGACAAAGGGCCUGGAUUCAUUCACUUCCUGACUUCAGACAAAUCACAUCUCAGUCAGUUUCAAGGUUCUCCAAACUCUGGUGUUCCACAUUCUAGGAUCUUCUGUAUUCUAAGGUUCUUCGGACAUUUUCUCUUCCAUAUCUCUGAUAUUCCAUCAUAGAGGAAGAGCCUGACCCCUGUCAACUGGUUUUGGAACCCCCAAGUUUUCUCCUGCCCCCUUGGGAACUUAUCUUAAGGGAAAUCCCAAACUGACUUAGUCUCCAACAGAACAAUAAACCCUUAAAGGACCCAAUGAUCUAAGCUUAG
RNAcentral lists this long non-coding RNA (1292 nucleotides) under Monodelphis domestica (gray short-tailed opossum). Its description in RNAcentral is "lncRNA (ENSMODG00000045502.1)". The record is from RNAcentral. Lineage: Eukaryota; Metazoa; Chordata; Mammalia; Didelphimorphia; Didelphidae.